AGUCAUAUGCUUGUCUCAAAGAUUAAGCCAUGCAUGUCUCAGUACAAGCCAAAUUAAGGUGAAACCGCGAAAGGCUCAUUAAAUCAGUUAUGGUUCCUUAGAUCGUACCCACAUUUACUUGGAUAACUGUGGUAAUUCUAGAGCUAAUACAUGCAAACAGAGCUCAGACCGGAGACGGAAGGAGCGCUUUUAUUAGAUCAAAACCAAUCGGCGGCGGGUUCGCUCGUCGUCGUACAACUUGGUGAAUCUGAAUAACUUUCUGCUGAUCGCAUGGUCUCGCACCGGCGACGCAUCUUUCAAAUGUCUGCCUUAUCAACUGUCGAUGGUAGGUUCUGCGCCUACCAUGGUUGUAACGGGUAACGGGGAAUCAGGGUUCGAUUCCGGAGAGGGAGCCUGAGAAACGGCUACCACAUCCAAGGAAGGCAGCAGGCGCGCAAAUUACCCACUCCCGGCACGGGGAGGUAGUGACGAAAAAUAACGAUACGGGACUCAUCCGAGGCCCCGUAAUCGGAAUGAGUACACUCUAAACCCUUUAACGAGGAUCAAUUGGAGGGCAAGUCUGGUGCCAGCAGCCGCGGUAAUUCCAGCUCCAAUA
This 595-nucleotide ribosomal RNA is filed under the name Disersus chibcha. Its description in RNAcentral is "SSU rRNA". It matches the Rfam family "Eukaryotic small subunit ribosomal RNA", at positions 22 to 596 of the family's 1831-position model. Lineage: Eukaryota; Metazoa; Arthropoda; Insecta; Coleoptera; Elmidae. The record is from RNAcentral.